RNAcentral lists this ribosomal RNA (1138 nucleotides) under Metridium senile (brown sea anemone). RNAcentral describes it as "mt SSU rrNA". It matches the Rfam family "Bacterial small subunit ribosomal RNA". Lineage: Eukaryota; Metazoa; Cnidaria; Anthozoa; Actiniaria; Metridiidae. The record is from RNAcentral.
GUCCUUUGAUUUUGGGGAAUGUAGAAGGCAAGUGGCCCUUUUAAUACAUGCUAGUAUGUCUAUCUGAUGGUCAAAAGAUCUAAGGAUAGCUCGUGCAGACAGGUGAGUAAAUCCGGAAUCCAAAGUGCUGGGCCGGAGUCUUAUUAGGUAGAAGGUGGUGUAAAAGACCACCUUGCUGAAGAUGGGUAGCUUAGUUGGAGCCACACUUUCACUGAAACAAGGGGAAGGCUCACAUAGAGGCAGCAGUAGAGAAUCUUGUGCAAUGCACGAAAGUAUGACACAGAGAGGACACAUUUAAUUGAGCCCGUCAAAUUAAGUGCCAGCCGACGCGGUUAGACUUAAGGGCUGGUCUUUAUAAGUAAAAAGGCGUAAAGGAUGUGUAGGCCAAGAAAUUGUCCAAGAAGGUAAAUGGAAUUUUUCUGGAGCGGUAGAAUGUGAGGAUAGAAAAUAGAACACCUAAGGUUAAAACUAUUUACCACAAAAUAGGCUGAAACAUGAAAGUGUGGGGAGCAAACAGGAUUAGAGACCCUGGUAGUCCCACACUGUGAACUUUGAAGAUGAUGCUUAGCAGACCCGAAAGGUAAAAUCUUCCGCCUGAGUAGUACGAUCGCAAGAUUAAAAUUCAAAAACUUUGGCUGUUCACUAUUUCGAUUAGAGGAGCGUGUAGUUUAAUUCGAUGGUCCGCGUGUUACCUUACCCCAGCUUGAAUCUAUGACCGGUAUUGCAUGGCCGUCGUAAGUCCGUGUGUUAAGCUAGAAGGGACCCAAUCCGGGCGUUUGCCCGAAGGAAGUCAGGUCUUAUGAUCCGAAUGUUGGGGGAUUUUAUGCGCUACAUUUUCUUAUAUAAUGAGAGACUUGAAAGGUAAGCCUCUAAAGUAAGAGUUCGGAAGGUCGCUGUAAAACGACUGGAAGUUGGAUUUAAUAGUAAUCGGAAAGUAGGGCGUUCCGGUGAAUUGGUACAAGUGUUAGCACAAAUUGCCCGUCACCUUUACCUAGGAUGGUUAUUCGGACGCCUUCGGUGGUUACGAAUGCCUACGAGGUAAAGCAAGUCGUAACAUGGUGAGGGAGGGGGAACCCUCCCUUGAAAAUGAAGCAAAAAUCUUGCAUUUUAUUUACACUAAAAAGUUAGUCUAAAAAGU